GGCAGGUGAACUGGGUCCUCUGCUGCACCGUCUUCCUGCAUGAACAGCUCUGUCCUGUGGGGUCCCUGACACUGGAACCAGGAAGCUCUCAGAUUUGCUCUGAUGCCAACAAUUUGGCCAACACAUGCAAGAUUGAUUUAAACUUUUUAUCAUUUUUAAAGUUGCAGAACCAGAAGGUAAAAAAAGAAGGAAACCACCCCAAGUCCCACGGCCCUGACUCUGGGCCGGGUCGUCGUCGCUUCCCGGGCCAGCCCCACUCUCCUGGUGAUUCUCAGAUGCUCUGGGGCCCAGGCUCAGUCCUGGGAAGGCACCUCUCUGUCUUGCCCUUCCACGGUAACCUCAUCUGAUCUCAUGGCUCCAAGCACCCUCGGAAUGCUGAGGGCUCCUCAGCUCAGGACUUCAGCCCAGACACAUGGCCACCGGUCCAACGUGGCGUCAGCCUGCCCUCAGCCUUCAAGCAACUGCUGUCUCCCGCGCUGCAGCUAUGUCCCUUGGGAAUGUAGCACGAGUGGCCUCAGGCACAUGCAGCUAUUGGAGGGGCUCCUUUUCACUCAGCAAGGCUUCCUUGAGACUCCUCCAAGUUGCUGCACACACAGUUGUCCAUUUGUCUUCACACCAUGCACCUAUCAGCCACUGGGGGACACUGGCACUCUGUUCAACUCCUGGCGAUUACAAAUAGAGCCUCUAGGGACAUUCCUCUCAAUUCUCAUUUCUCUGGAAUAAACAUCCAGGAGUAUGACUGGGGGGUUGUAUGUUAAAUAUAUAUUUGUUGUUUUUUUUAAAUUCUGGUAGUAGAAAUUGAACCCAAGGAUAUUAACCACUGAGCACAUCCCCAGCCCUAUUUUUUUUUUUCACUUUAAGACAGGAUCUGGCUAUGUUGCCUAGGGCCUCACUAAGUUGCUGAGGCUGGCCUUGAAUUUGUCAUCCUCCUACCUCAGCCUCCUGAGUUGCUGGGGUUACAGGCUAUACCACCAUGCCUGGAUUGGCUUAAAUUUGAUUUUCUAAGGAACUGCUGACUUAUUUUCCAGACAGCGGUGCCAUCUGGUAGGCUCAAUAGCAACGAGUAGGAAGUCCAGCCUCUCUAUGGCCUUAUCAACAUCUGGUGUCACGUGCUCAAGCCAUAAUGAGUGUGAGCACCAUGUGGCACUGAGGACAGUGCUUGUGUCCUUGUCUAGUGGUGCUAAGGCCUUUCCUGUGUGUGCUACCACCUGCACGUUCGUCCUGAUGAAUUUUCCUCUCAUGAGUUUGCUCUUUU
Molecule: long non-coding RNA, 1255 nt
Filed under: Marmota monax (woodchuck)
Lineage: Eukaryota; Metazoa; Chordata; Mammalia; Rodentia; Sciuridae
Source: RNAcentral